CCUACGGGUGGCAGCAGUGAGGAAUAUUGGUCAAUGGGCGAGAGCCUGAACCAGCCAAGUCGCGUGAGGGAAGACGGUCCUAUGGAUUGUAAACCUCUUUUGCCGGGGAGCAAGACGCGGUACGCGUACCGCCUCGCGUGUACCCGGAGAACAAGCAUCGGCUAACUCCGUGCCAGCAGCCGCGGUGAGACGGAGGAUGCGAGCGUUAUCCGGAUUUAGUGGGUUUAAAGGGGGCGCAGUCGGCGAGUUAAGUCAGCGGUAAAAUUUCGGGGCUCAACCCCGACAAGCCGUUGAAACUGGCGGGCUAGAGUGGGCGAGAGGUAGGCGGAAUGCGUGGUGUAGCGGUGAAAUGCAUAGAUAUCACGCAGAACUCCGAUUGCGAAGGCAGCAUACCGGCGCCCAACUAACGCUCAGGCACGAAAGCGUGGGUAUCGAACAGGAUUAGAUACCCUAGUAGUC
This 459-nucleotide ribosomal RNA is filed under the name uncultured bacterium. RNAcentral describes it as "partial 16S ribosomal RNA". It matches the Rfam family "Bacterial small subunit ribosomal RNA", at positions 338 to 795 of the family's 1533-position model. The record is from RNAcentral.